CUCUUGCUGCUCGAUGAAGUGCUGACGGGUCUCACGCCGAGCGAAGCGGCGGCGGGCGUCGAUCUGAUCCGCAAGGUGAGGGAGACCGGUGUCACCGUCGUGAUGGUCGAACACGUCAUGGAGGUGGUGAUGCCGCUGGUGGACCGCGCCGUGGUACUUCAUCUCGGCAAGGUGCUGGCGGAAGGUCUUCCGAAGGAAGUCGUGCGCGACGAGAAGGUGAUCGCGGCCUAUCUGGGGGAUCGUCACCGUGUUGCUUGAUGUCGCGAACCUCACCAC
Molecule: unclassified non-coding RNA, 276 nt
Filed under: Hevea brasiliensis (rubber tree)
Lineage: Eukaryota; Viridiplantae; Streptophyta; Magnoliopsida; Malpighiales; Euphorbiaceae
Source: RNAcentral